This 2629-nucleotide ribosomal RNA is filed under the name bioreactor metagenome. RNAcentral describes it as "bacterial LSU rRNA". The stretch from base 1 to 2087 matches the Rfam family "Bacterial large subunit ribosomal RNA". The record is from RNAcentral.
AGAAGCUACGAAGAGCGUUCGGAGGAUGCCUAGGCGUCAAGGGCCGAAGAAGGACGCGGUACACUGCGAAAAGCCCCGGGGAGUCGUGUGCAGGCGCAGAUCCGGGGGUAUCCGAAUGGGGAAACCCGCCCGGUUGAAGAUCGGGCACAGCACGGUGAACACAUAGCCGUGUUGGGGGCACGCGGGGAACUGAAACAUCUUAGUACCCGCAGGAAAAGAGAGUAUUCCCUGAGUAGUGGCGAGCGAAAGGGGAGGAGCCCAAACCGACGGGGCUACGGCCGCGUCGGGGUUGUAGGACCGGCAUAAGGGGACAGCACGGCUUAGCUGAAGGACACUGGAAAGGUCCGCCAGAGGGGGUGAAAGCCCCGUAAGCGAAAGGCCAAGCGCCCCGCCGAGAUCCUGAGUACCACGGGACACGAGGAACCUUGUGGGAAGCAGGGCAGACCACUGCCCAAGGCUAAAUACCCUUGAUGACCGAUAGUGAACCAGUACCGUGAGGGAAAGGUGAAAAGAACCCCGGUGAGGGGAGUGAAAUAGAACCUGAAAUCAUAGACCUACAAGCGGUGGAAGGCCUAUACGUAUGCCGCAAGGCGUGCGGAUGGCUGACCGCGUACCUAUUGAAUAAUGGUCCGACGAGUUACUGUGCGGUGCGAGCUUAACCCUUUAAACGGGGGAAGGCGCAGCGAAAGCGAGUCCUAAUAGGGCGAUUCAGUACCGUAUAGUAGACCCGAAACUGAGUGAUCUACCCAUGGUCAGAGUGAAGCUUCCCGAAAGGGAAGUGGAAGCUCGAACCCAUCAGCGUUGAAAAGCUGUGGGAUGAACUGUGGGUCGGAGCGAAAGACUAAACAAACUCAGAAAUUGCUGGUUCUCCCCGAAACAAUUCUAGGGUUCGCCUCGGGUAAUAUAAAUAACAGGGGUAGAGUAAUGAAUGGGUUGCGGGGCCUUACCAGGCUGCUGGACCCAACCAAACUUCGAAUACUGUUAUUCUUAACCCGGGAGUAAGACGACGGGGGCCAAGCUCCGUCGUCUAAAGGGAAUCAGCCCAGAUCGCCAGCUAAGGUCCCUAAGAAUAGGCUAAGUGGUAAAGGAUGUGAACUCGCUUAGACAACCAGGAUGUUGGCUUAGAAGCAGCCACCAUUUAAAGAGUGCGUAACAGCUCACUGGUCGAGCGAUUUUGCGCCUAAGAUGACCGGGGCUCAAGCCUAUUACCGAAGCUGCGGAUUUGAAUUUGCCUUCGGGCAAAUCAAGUGGUAGGGGAGCGUAGUCCGACGAGAGAAGUCAUACCGUGAGGAGUGAUGGACGUCGGACUAGUGAUUAUGUCGGAAUGAGUAGCGAAAACGCCUGCGAGAAACAGGCGCACCGAAAGUCUAAGGUUUCCUGGGGAAGGUUAAUCCGCCCAGGGUUAGUCGGUCCUAAGCUGAGGCCGUUUGGCGUAAGCGAUGGAUAAUCCGUUAAUAUUCGGAUACCGGCUGGAUGGCGUUAAAACCGGUGACGUGACGCGGAAGGUUAGGGGCUGCGCAGUGUUGGAUGUCUGCGUUUCUGUACCCGCGAGGGUAUGGAGGGAUCCUGCGGUUUCCAAGGGAGAAGUGUUCUGAUACCAUGCCGCCAAGAAAAGCGUCAUCGGGAGUCGUCCGGUCGUCCGUACCGUAAUCCGACACAGGUAGACCUCCAGAGAAUGGUAAGGUGCUCGAGAUAACUCUCGUUAAGGAACUCGGCAAAAUAACCCCGUAACUUCGGGAUAAGGGGUGCCCCGGCCAGAAACGGUCGGGGUCUCAGUAAAGUGGCCCGGGUGACUGUUUAGUAAAAACACAGCACUCUGCAAACUCGAAAGAGGACGUAUAGGGUGUGAUACCUGCCCGGUGCUGGAAGGUUAAGGGAAUGGGUUAGUAAUCGUGAGAUUGCGAAGCUUUGAACCGAAGCCCCAGUAAACGGCGGCCGUAACUAUUGACUGGACACAGUAGUUGUAAAAUCUGGCUAUAUGCUGGAAAAUCCUGUUAAGCCGAUGGUACAUUCCGAUUCUAUCGGAAUCGUGACAAUUCAUCGGAUAGGGAUAAUCAGCAGGAAAGAUCCGAAAGGUGGUUCUGUAUGAGACCGGAGAUAGGUUAUUAUUUAGCUGGUUUCGCCGAUGGGGAAGGAAGCUUUAAUCUUUCCUUCAGACCUCGGCAAGAUUACAAAUCACCGUGGAAAGUUUCCCUUUGUUUCAAUAUAUCCCAGAAGGAUAAAGUCAUACUCGCAUUAUUCAAACACCAUUUAGGAUGUGGGACAUUAAGGUCCCGGCCCGAUGGAGUUUGGUAUUACGAGGUAAAUAACUUCAAUUCUAUCAGGGAUAACGUGAUACCGUUUUUUAGGAGAUUCUGUUUUCUCUCUGCUAAGAAAAAGCGGGAUUUUGCAAAAUUCUGCCAACUCGCGGAAAUAAUAGAGAAAAACGGAUAUCUUGAUGAAACCGGAAUCAGGAGAAUAUUGGAAAUAAGAAGGGGAAUGAAUGACGGUGGAAAACGUAAAUACCGUGAAAAUGAAAUCAUCGGCAAGUUUCGGAAAUCCUCAGAGACUAUACGCCAGACCUCUGAAGUUUUAGAGGAUGAUAUAGUCCGGCCUUCCGGGAAACCGGAAGAUUAACAAAAGCGAACGG